This 949-nucleotide ribosomal RNA is filed under the name Raffaelea subalba. Its description in RNAcentral is "SSU rRNA". It matches the Rfam family "Eukaryotic small subunit ribosomal RNA", at positions 95 to 1053 of the family's 1831-position model. The record is from RNAcentral. Lineage: Eukaryota; Fungi; Ascomycota; Sordariomycetes; Ophiostomatales; Ophiostomataceae.
GGCUCAUUAAAUCAGUUAUCGUCUAUUUGAUAGUACCUUACUACUUGGAUAACCGUGGUAAUUCUAGAGCUAAUACAUGCUGCAAAGCCCGACUUCGGAAGGGUUGUAUUUAUUAGAUUAAAAACCAAUGCCCUCCGGGGCUCACUGGUGAUUCAUGAUAACUUCUCGAAUCGCACGGCCUUGCGCCGGCGAUGGUUCAUUCAAAUUUCUGCCCUAUCAACUUUCGACGGCUGGGUCUUGGCCAGCCGUGGUGACAACGGGUAACGGAGGGUUAGGGCUCGACCCCGGAGAAGGAGCCUGAGAAACGGCUACUACAUCCAAGGAAGGCAGCAGGCGCGCAAAUUACCCAAUCCCGACACGGGGAGGUAGUGACAAUAAAUACUGAUACAGGGCUCUUUUGGGUCUUGUAAUUGGAAUGAGUACAAUUUAAUUCCCUUAACGAGGAACAAUUGGAGGGCAAGUCUGGUGCCAGCAGCCGCGGUAAUUCCAGCUCCAAUAGCGUAUAUUAAAGUUGUUGCAGUUAAAAAGCUCGUAGUUGAACCUUGGGCCUGGCUGGCCGGUCCGCCUCACCGCGUGCACUGGUCCGGCCGGGCCUUUCCCUCUGGGGAGCCGCAUGCCCUUCACUGGGCGUGCCGGGGAACCAGGACGUUUACUUUGAAAAAAUUAGAGUGUUCAAAGCAGGCUUAUGCUCGGAUACAUUAGCAUGGAAUAAUAGAAUAGGACGCGUGGUUCUAUUUUGUUGGUUUCUAGGACCGCCGUAAUGAUUAAUAGGGACAGUCGGGGGCAUCAGUAUUCAGCUGUCAGAGGUGAAAUUCUUGGAUUUGCUGAAGACUAACUACUGCGAAAGCAUUUGCCAAGGAUGUUUUCAUUAAUCAGGAACGAAAGUUAGGGGAUCGAAGACGAUCAGAUACCGUCGUAGUCUUAACCAUAAACUAUGCCGACUAGGGAU